RNAcentral lists this ribosomal RNA (587 nucleotides) under uncultured bacterium. RNAcentral describes it as "bacterial SSU rRNA". It matches the Rfam family "Bacterial small subunit ribosomal RNA", at positions 338 to 916 of the family's 1533-position model. The record is from RNAcentral.
CCUACGGGAGGCAGCAGUGGGGAAUAUUGGACAAUGGGCGAAAGCCUGAUCCAGCCAUGCCGCGUGUGUGAAGAAGGUCUUCGGAUUGUAAAGCACUUUAAGUUGGGAGGAAGGGUUGUAGAUUAAUACUCUGCAAUUUUGACGUUACCGACAGAAUAAGCACCGGCUAACUCUGUGCCAGCAGCCGCGGUAAUACAGAGGGUGCAAGCGUUAAUCGGAAUUACUGGGCGUAAAGCGCGCGUAGGUGGUUUGUUAAGUUGGAUGUGAAAUCCCCGGGCUCAACCUGGGAACUGCAUUCAAAACUGACUGACUAGAGUAUGGUAGAGGGUGGUGGAAUUUCCUGUGUAGCGGUGAAAUGCGUAGAUAUAGGAAGGAACACCAGUGGCGAAGGCGACCACCUGGACUAAUACUGACACUGAGGUGCGAAAGCGUGGGGAGCAAACAGGAUUAGAUACCCUGGUAGUCCACGCCGUAAACGAUGUCAACUAGCCGUUGGAAGCCUUGAGCUUUUAGUGGCGCAGCUAACGCAUUAAGUUGACCGCCUGGGGAGUACGGCCGCAAGGUUAAAACUUAAAGGAAAUUGACGG